RNAcentral lists this ribosomal RNA (274 nucleotides) under uncultured bacterium. RNAcentral describes it as "partial 16S ribosomal RNA". It matches the Rfam family "Bacterial small subunit ribosomal RNA", at positions 523 to 796 of the family's 1533-position model. The record is from RNAcentral.
AUACGUAGGGUGCGAGCGUUAAUCGGAAUUACUGGGCGUAAAGCGUGCGCAGGCGGUUUUGUAAGUCAGAUGUGAAAUCCCCGGGCUUAACCUGGGAACUGCGUUUGAAACUGCAAGGCUAGAGUGUGGCAGAGGGGGGUGGAAUUCCGCGUGUAGCAGUGAAAUGCGUAGAUAUGUGGAGGAACACCGAUGGCGAAGGCAGCCCCCUGGGUCAACACUGACGCUCAGGCACGAAAGCAUGGGGAGCAAACAGGAUUAGAUACCCCAGUAGUCC